This 206-nucleotide ribosomal RNA is filed under the name uncultured bacterium. Its description in RNAcentral is "partial 16S ribosomal RNA". It matches the Rfam family "Bacterial small subunit ribosomal RNA", at positions 1287 to 1500 of the family's 1533-position model. The record is from RNAcentral.
CUCAGUUCGGAUCGGAGUCUGCAACCCGACUCCGUGAAGCUGGAUUCGCUAGUAAUCGCGCAUCAGCCAUGGCGCGGUGAAUACGUUCCCGGGCCUUGUACACACCGCCCGUCAAGCCAUGGGANCCGGGGGUGCCUGAAGUUCGUGACCGCAAGGAGCGACCUAGGGCAAAACUGGUGACUGGGGCUAAGUCGUAACAAGGUACC